Molecule: transfer RNA, 75 nt
Filed under: Halobacterium salinarum
Lineage: Archaea; Methanobacteriati; Methanobacteriota; Halobacteria; Halobacteriales; Halobacteriaceae
Description: tRNA-Ala
Rfam family: tRNA
About the family: Transfer RNA (tRNA) molecules are approximately 80 nucleotides in length. Their secondary structure includes four short double-helical elements and three loops (D, anti-codon, and T loops). Further hydrogen bonds mediate the characteristic L-shaped molecular structure. tRNAs have two regions of fundamental functional importance: the anti-codon, which is responsible for specific mRNA codon recognition, and the 3' end, to which the tRNAs corresponding amino acid is attached (by aminoacyl-tRNA synthetases). tRNAs cope with the degeneracy of the genetic code in two manners: having more than one tRNA (with a specific anti-codon) for a particular amino acid; and 'wobble' base-pairing, i.e. permitting non-standard base-pairing at the 3rd anti-codon position.
Source: RNAcentral
GGGCUCGUAGAUCAGCGGUAGAUCGCUUCCUUCGCAAGGAAGAGGCCCUGGGUUCGAAUCCCAGCGAGUCCACCA